GGCGCUAAUGACUAGUAAUGAUGGUGGUAAUAAUUGUGAUGGUGGAGGUUAUUAGUGUUGUAGUGACGGAUGUGAUGGUGGAGGUAAUUAGUGUUGUAGUGACCGACGUGAUGGUAGAGGUAAUUAUUGUUGUAGUGACUGACGUGAUGGUGGUUGUUGAUAAUGGUGGUGGUGGUUGUGAUGGUGAAGUUGAUUGAUGUUAGUAGUUAGUAGUGUUGAUGGUGGUGGCGGAAGAAUGUUUGAUGGUUGAUGAUGUGUUGGUGGAAGGUGACGAUGGUGGAGGUGGUUGGUAAUAAGGAUUAAUCACCAUGGUGGUAGUGGUGGUGGAGGUGGCCGUGAUGGUGGUGGCAAUGAGUGUAAUUAUAAUGAUGGAGGUUGUAGGUGUGGUAAUGACUUAUAGUAGUAGUC
Molecule: long non-coding RNA, 408 nt
Filed under: Solanum tuberosum (potato)
Lineage: Eukaryota; Viridiplantae; Streptophyta; Magnoliopsida; Solanales; Solanaceae
Description: long non-coding RNA (STUB_LNC006638)
Source: RNAcentral